RNAcentral lists this ribosomal RNA (254 nucleotides) under uncultured bacterium. RNAcentral describes it as "partial 16S ribosomal RNA". It matches the Rfam family "Bacterial small subunit ribosomal RNA", at positions 524 to 776 of the family's 1533-position model. The record is from RNAcentral.
UACGUAGGGCGCAAGCGUUGUCCGGAAUUAUUGGGCGUAAAGAGCUCGUAGGCGGUCUGUUGCGUCAGGAGUGAAAACUCGGGGCUUAACCCCGAGCCUGCUUCUGAUACGGGCAGACUAGAGGUAUGCAGGGGAGAACGGAAUUCCUGGUGUAGGCGGUGAAAUGCGCAGAUAUCAGGAGGAACACCGGUGGCGAAGGCGGUUCUCUGGGCCUUACCUGACGCUGAGGAGCGAAAGCGUGGGGAGCGAACAGG